CGAUGGGCUCCGCUGCGGGUGCUGGUGCUGCUGCUGCUGCGGGGGUGGCAGCGGCGGCGGCCUUCUCCAUCUCAGGGACUGUGCCAUUGGCAGGGGCAGGUGCUGCCGCCUUGGCUCCGUCCUUUCCAGCAGCAGCUGGAGCUCCAUCCUUGGCGGCGGCAGCUGGAGCAGGUGGGGGAGGUGGCUUCAUGUGUGGCGGGGGUGUGUGCUUCAGCUUCAGCAGUAUCUGGCGCAUCCGUGCCAUGUCGGUCGGCUUCCCGGGCUUUGGUCC
This 271-nucleotide long non-coding RNA is filed under the name Brachypodium distachyon (stiff brome). RNAcentral's name for it is "long non-coding RNA (BDIS_LNC000445)". Lineage: Eukaryota; Viridiplantae; Streptophyta; Magnoliopsida; Poales; Poaceae. The record is from RNAcentral.